UCCGCCUGGUUUUUUAAAAAACAUCGCCUCUUGCAAAAUAAAUGAAUAAGAGGUCCCGCCUGCCCUGUGACUAUAUGUUCAACGGCCGCGGUAUUUUGACCGUGCGAAGGUAGCGCAAUCACUUGUCUUUUAAAUGAAGACCUGUAUGAAUGGCAUCACGAGGGCUUAGCUGUCUCCCCCUCCCAGUCAAUGAAAUUGAUUUUCCCGUGCAGAAGCGGGAAUAAGAACAUAAGACGAGAAGACCCUAUGGAGCUUAAGACGCCAGGACAGCUCAUGUUAAACACCCCAGAACAAAGGGAAUAAACUUAGUGAAACCCUGCCCUAGUGUCUUUGGUUGGGGCGACCACGGGGAAAAACUUAACCCCCAUGCGGAAUAGGAAUACUAUUUUCCUAGACUCAAGAGCUCCCGCUCUAAUAGACAGAAUUUCUGACCAAAAGGAUCCGGCAAUGCCGAUCAACGGACCGAGUUACCCUAGGGAUAACAGCGCAAUCCUCUUUAAGAGUCCCUAUCGACAAGAGGGUUUACGACCUCGAUGUUGGAUCAGGACAUCCUAAUGGUGCAGCCGCUAUAAGGGUUCGCGGUCGUAGAUAGUC
This 594-nucleotide ribosomal RNA is filed under the name Acanthopagrus latus (yellowfin seabream). RNAcentral describes it as "partial 16S ribosomal RNA". It matches the Rfam family "Bacterial large subunit ribosomal RNA", at positions 1795 to 2595 of the family's 2925-position model. Lineage: Eukaryota; Metazoa; Chordata; Actinopteri; Spariformes; Sparidae. The record is from RNAcentral.